UACGUAGGGGGCUAGCGUUGUCCGGAAUCAUUGGGCGUAAAGCGCGCGUAGGCGGCCCAGUAAGUCCGUUGUAAAAGUCAAAGGCUCAACCUUUGAAAGCCGAUGGAUACUGCUGAGCUAGAGUCCGGAAGAGGCGAGUGGAAUUCCUGGUGUAGCGGUGGAAUGCGCAGAUAUCAGGAGGAACACCGAUAGCGAAGGCAGCUCGCUGGGACGGUACUGACGCUGAGGCGCGAAAGCGUGGGGAGCGAACAGG
This 253-nucleotide ribosomal RNA is filed under the name uncultured bacterium. Its description in RNAcentral is "partial 16S ribosomal RNA". It matches the Rfam family "Bacterial small subunit ribosomal RNA", at positions 524 to 776 of the family's 1533-position model. The record is from RNAcentral.